GGGCGUUAGCUCAGUUGGUAGAGCAGCGGACUCUUAAUCCGUAGGUCGAGUGUUCGAGUCACUCACGCCC
Molecule: transfer RNA, 70 nt
Filed under: Ralstonia pickettii
Lineage: Bacteria; Pseudomonadati; Pseudomonadota; Betaproteobacteria; Burkholderiales; Burkholderiaceae
Also listed under: 6 other names
Rfam family: tRNA
About the family: Transfer RNA (tRNA) molecules are approximately 80 nucleotides in length. Their secondary structure includes four short double-helical elements and three loops (D, anti-codon, and T loops).
Source: RNAcentral